GUAGGUGGCAAGCGUUGUCCGGAAUUAUUGGGCGUAAAGCGCGCGCAGGCGGUCCUUUAAGUCUGAUGUGAAAGCCCACGGCUCAACCGUGGAGGGUCAUUGGAAACUGGGGGACUUGAGUACAGAAGAGGAAAGCGGAAUUCCAAGUGUAGCGGUGAAAUGCGUAGAGAUUUGGAGGAACACCAGUGGCGAAGGCGGCUUUCUGGUCUGUAACUGACGCUGAGGCGCGAAAGCGUGGGGAGCAAACAGGGAUUAGAUACCCUGGUAGUCCACGCCGUAAACGAUGAGUGCUAAGUGUUAGGGGGUUUCCGCCCCCUUAGUGCUGCAGCUAACGCAUUAAGCACUCCGCCUGGGGAUACGGCCGCAAGGCUG
Molecule: ribosomal RNA, 372 nt
Filed under: uncultured organism
Description: partial 16S ribosomal RNA
Rfam family: Bacterial small subunit ribosomal RNA
Source: RNAcentral